This 72-nucleotide transfer RNA is filed under the name Bos taurus (domestic cattle). It matches the Rfam family "tRNA". Rfam says of the family: Transfer RNA (tRNA) molecules are approximately 80 nucleotides in length. Their secondary structure includes four short double-helical elements and three loops (D, anti-codon, and T loops). Lineage: Eukaryota; Metazoa; Chordata; Mammalia; Artiodactyla; Bovidae. The record is from Rfam by way of RNAcentral.
UUCCCUGUAGCUCAGAUGGUAAAGAAUCUGCCUGCAAUGCAGGAGAUGCAGGUUCGAUCCCUGUGUGGGGAA